Molecule: ribosomal RNA, 506 nt
Filed under: uncultured bacterium
Lineage: Bacteria
Description: partial 16S ribosomal RNA
Rfam family: Bacterial small subunit ribosomal RNA
Source: RNAcentral
AUUGAACGCUGGCGGCAGGCCUAACACAUGCAAGUCGAACGGUAACAGGAAACAGCUUGCUGUUUCGCUGACGAGUGGCGGACGGGUGAGUAAUGUCUGGGAAACUGCCUGAUGGAGGGGGAUAACUACUGGAAACGGUAGCUAAUACCGCAUAACGUCGCAAGACCAAAGAGGGGGACCUUCGGGCCUCUUGCAAUCGGAUGUGCCCAGAUGGGAUUAGCUAGUAGGUGGGGUAACGGCUCACCUAGGCGACGGUCCCUAGCUGGUCUGAGGGGAUGACCAGCCACACUGGAACUGAGACGCGGUCCAGACUCCUACGGGAGGCAGCAGUGGGGAAUAUUGCACAAUGGGCGCAAGCCUGAUGCAGCCAUGCCGCGUGUAUGAAGAAGGCCUUCGUGUUGUAAAGUACUUUCAGCGGGGAGGAAGGGAGUAAAGUUAAUACCUUUACUCAUUGACGUUACCCGCAGAAGAAGCACCGGCUAACUCCGUGCCAGCAGCCGCCGUAA